This 610-nucleotide ribosomal RNA is filed under the name uncultured bacterium. RNAcentral describes it as "bacterial SSU rRNA". It matches the Rfam family "Bacterial small subunit ribosomal RNA", at positions 119 to 744 of the family's 1533-position model. The record is from RNAcentral.
GGGUAACCAACCCUUUGGAAAGGAAUAGCCUCGGGAAACUGGGAGUAAUGCCUUAUAAGAUACGUUUGUCGCAUGGCAUUUGUAUUAAACGCUCCGGCGCCAUAGGAUGGACCCGCGUCCCAUUAGCUAGUUGGUGAGAUAACAGCUCACCAAGGCCACGAUGGGUAACCGGUCUGAGAGGGCGAACGGUCACACUGGAACUGAGACACGGUCCAGACUCCUACGGGAGGCAGCAGUGGGGAAUAUUGCGCAAUGGGGGCAACCCUGACGCAGCAAUACCGCGUGAGUGAAGAAGGUUUUCGGAUCGUAAAGCUCUGUUAUUGGGGAAGAAAAAAAGACGGUACCCAAGAAGAAAGUUCCGGCUAACUACGUGCCAGCAGCCGCGGUAAUACGUAGGGAACAAGCGUUGUCCGGAUUUACUGGGCGUAAAGGGCACGCAGGCGGUUUUUUAAGUCAGAUGUGAAAGGCCACAGCUCAACUGUGGACAUGCAUUUGAAACUGAAAGACUUGAGUAUUGGAGAGGCAAGUGGAAUUCCUAGUGUAGCGGUGAAAUGCAUAGAUAUUAGGAGGAACACCGGUGGCGAAGGCGGCUUGCUGGACAAAUACUGAC